ACGGGAGGCAGCAGUGAGGAAUAUUGGUCAAUGGAGGCAACUCUGAACCAGCCAUCUCGCGUGAAGGAAUACGGCCCUACGGGUCUUAAACUUCUUUUAUAGGGGGAUAAAGUGAGAUAUGUAUAUCUUUUUGUAGGUACCCUAUGAAUAAGCAUCGGCUAACUCCGUGCCAGCAGCCGCGGUAAUACGGAGGAUGCAAGCGUUAUCCGGAUUUAUUGGGUUUAAAGGGUGCGUAGGCGGCUAGGUAAGUCAGCGGUGAAAUGCCAGUGCUCAACAUUGGACGUGCCGUUGAUACUGUCUGGCUUGAAUGCGGAUGCCGUGGGAGGAAUGUGUGGUGUAGCGGUGAAAUGCAUAGAUAUCACACAGAACACCGAUUGCGAAGGCAUCUCACGAAUCCGCUAUUGACGCUGAGGCACGAAAGUGUGGGGAUCAAACAGGAUUAGAUACCCUGGUA
RNAcentral lists this ribosomal RNA (454 nucleotides) under uncultured bacterium. Its description in RNAcentral is "partial 16S ribosomal RNA". It matches the Rfam family "Bacterial small subunit ribosomal RNA", at positions 341 to 792 of the family's 1533-position model. The record is from RNAcentral.